UCAUGCGAAGCAAUUGCAUUAGGUAAUAAACUCCAUGCUCCCUUCAUGUACCCAUACCCAGCCCCCAUCGGUGACACUGCCCUUAGAGAAUGUCUAGGUUCUCCUAUUUGCAGAAAGACUCUCUGUUAAGAAAGCAGAUGAUUCAUUUAAUUCCAGCAACUCGAUAUUGCAGCUAUAUAAACACAUCUCUCUGGACUUCCCAAAUAAGCUUGGCCCACAUUUACCACUUCCUAUCUUUUCCCAAAAUAGGCUAACUGUGAAAAAGAAAAGACUAACAACUUUAUAUGAGCAAAUAAACAGAAGUAACAAUAUAUAUACGUGUGUGUGUGUAUGUGUGCAUACACAUUCUAUAUUCAGAAAUAUAUAACAACAGAAAUAUUAGUCCUCCCCCUUAAGAUGGUAGGAAUAUAAAAUAAUGAAACUGGGAAAGCCAGUGGGCAGAGAAAGCUUGUCCAAGAAGCUGGUCCCUCCUAUUCGUGGAGCUGGAGGUCUCACCAGCCCUCAUCAGGUAUCCUGGGCUCCCACAUCAAUCUCUCUGGGCUGAAUGCAGCCCACCAGGUAGCUUGCACUGUAACCACUGCCUGCCUUGCUGCAAACUGCAAUGCGAAGUGCCUUGUGGGUUUUGUGUUCCCUUGGGUUUAUUCAAUUGUAAGUAUAAAACUGAAGGCAGGUGGAGAAGGUCAGCAUUACAUAUUCAUUUUAUUUUAAAUAAUUAAUGAUGUUUCCUGUCUCUGCUUACAUUAAUUGCUCUCAGGUGUUAGAAAAUGGCUUGGUGAGUUGCCUUUUAACGUGUUUCUUUAGAAAGACAGUGUAGCUGCUCUUUGGCAUACUAAAGGCAGCAUGUACUGUGCAGGACUUUCUAACUAGAGGUUAAUAAAAGGGAAGUAAACAUAUGAAUUGAUGUUCUCAGCCAUGUGGGGGAGAAGGACGCAUCUAACUGUAUACCCAGGAAAUGUGAGCAAUGACUUCAUCCAAUCUCAGAACAAGACUCAUGUUUACCUAGAUUCUCCUGGUCAGAUGUGGCAUUAGAAACCAAUUUGAUUUUUUCUGAGGUAGUGACACUAAUAACAGAGCAUGAAAUACAAAGUCUUUUUUUUUUUUUUUUGUCUUUUUGUCUUUUUGCCUUUUCUAGGGCCGCACCCACGGCAUAUUGAGGUUCCCAGGCCCGGGGUCCAAUCAGAGCUAUAGCCUCCAGCCUGUGCCAAGCCAUAGCAAUGUGGGAUCUGAGCCACGCCUAUGACCUACAUCACAGCUCACAGCAACGCCAGAUCCUUAACCCACUGAGCGAGGCCAGGAAUCAAACCUGCAACCUCAUGGUUCCUAGUCAGAUUCGUUAACCACCGGGCCACGACGGGAACUCUGCAAAGUCAUUUUUCACGAUCAGUUCACAGGGAGAUAUUUUCUUUCAAGUACAAGCUACAAGUAUUUUUUUCAAAGAAUGUGAAGGCUUCCAGAGGUAUGGGAUGUUACUUUUUUUAAUCUGAUAAUACAUAUGGAGGAAGCAGGUUCUCAAAACAAUGUUGAUUCUGCCUCUUUUAAAAAUAUGAAUUGCCUCACUUCUGGUCAUAUAUAAAACUAUCUGUUCUUCUUCGAACAUGUUUAAGGAGAAGUUGGGCAAACAAAACUAGUUCUAAGGCACGGCUCCAUUCGCAUACUCUGCACUGAUGCUUCUAGAAAGUGUAUUUAUAAUGUGUAUUUACUUUAAGAAGAUCAAGACACUUACUUUUAAAAUACGUUUCUGUGAUAUGUGCUCCCAGAGUUGGACAUUAAUCAAACCUAAGUAGAAUCAACUGAGAGUCAAACUGAAUCUCAGAAGCAGAAUAACUGGCUUUAGAGAAAGGGCUGGAGGGCUUAGGAAAAGGUCCUCAGGGAAGCAGGCUGUACUUGGAAUGUGAGUACCAGUCAUUCUAUGUGCCACUGGCUGUGUCUGUCCUUAGUGGUCUCAGAUCCCAUUGUGAAGGAAGGACUUUGGGAACAUCCUUCUCCCUCUUGCCUCUCUUCUCCAUUUGUAGGUUACAUAGAAGCAAGACCAAGAGAGUAUGAACUAACAUUCAAAUUUAGGGCUUAUACUUUUUUAAGUUUUUAGUAAGAUAACAAGAGUAAACAAAAGAGCUUUGUUCCCAGUCUUAAUUUUAAUUGGUUCAUGCAAAGAUAUUUUCUAACCAUUGGAAUCCACAACCUAAUCAUUAACUUAAUCAUCCUAUUAACUUUGCCAAUAUACAUUGCUUUAUGCCAUACUGACCUACUCAUGUGCACAAAAUAUGUGUGCAACAUUCAGAGAUACAGCAAGUUGUGUGUCUGUAUGGAGAAAGACACAGACACACACACACACACACGCACAGAGCAGGUCAAGACAACAGCUGUUCAGCAUUAUUUACAAUAUACAGGCAUCAGUGAUGACCUAAAGAGCUGAAGAAAAAAACAGGCCAUAUUUUCAGCUUAAUAAAACCCUGCAGUAGGGAGCCCUUUAUGAACAAUUACAAGCAUUUGCCGGAAAUACAUUUGCUGAUUUAACAAACUGGGUAGGACAAAUGUUUAACAUGCUGUCGUAAUGAUGUUCAGAUGCUUUUCUUAGUAUUCGUUGAUCUGAGAUAAUGCGUUCUUGCCCAAUCAUUCUACAAAGCAGCAGCAGAAAUAAAUAAAUAAAUAGAUGUAACGUGAUGCGCUCCCACAAUAGCAGCGCUGCUGACUGCCCCUGACAGAUGGGGAAAAAAAAAGUCAAUAUGAUGCCUGAGACAGCCCAGGCUUGGCACCGCAGAAUAAAUUACAUGAUUCGCUGAAUGCCUGGGCUUCGCUCAGACAUACAAAAAAAUUGGAAAGAUAAAAGCUUGCAUUGGCUUCAGAUGAUAUUUACUGCUUGAUGGAUUUACUAGCAGCCCCAGUACAGUCAUACUGUAUUGAAUUAUUGGCCUCUAUUUAGCUGUGUGUCUGUCGGAUCUUGAGUGUCCAUUUAAGCGUAAGUGAGCUGGAGGCCCGCCAAGCCUCUCAGAGGCUCUGGGUACAGAGGGAGAUGUGAGCUAAUGGCCACCAGCCCGAAGAACAGAGAGCUGGAGGACACUGGGGGAGGCAACAAAGCCCAGCUACAAAGUACUUUCUUAUCAAUAUUAAUGCCAAAAUAAAUAUUAAUGGAGGCUGCCCGGCACAUCAUUUUUGAAUGUGCCUUGUUUUCUUUGUAUUUUAACACAAAUGGCUGGAAAUGACUGUGUGAUUUUUCUCUUUCUUUCACAUUUUCUUUCUUGCUCUGAAUCUAAGCAAGAAUUUGGAAAAGAACAUUAGCUUUGCUCCUACCGUUGUCACAGCGGUGGGGUUUCUAUAAGGCAAAGGAGGCAAAUGAAAUGCUGGUUUUAAGAGGUAUACGGCUUCCAAUAAAAUAUAUGAUUAGAAUAGUAAUGCACAGUAUUGCAGCUAUUGUUAUGGAUUCUUUAUUGCAUUGUGCUCAGGCAGUUCAACUGAGAAGUAGCAUUUCAUGUACAAAGAACCCAAUGGGAAAGUCGCAUUGUCAUCUUAGCUUCAAAAAAAAGAAGGUGGUGUGUGGCAGGGGGGCAAAAGGGUCCAUGGGGACUCUCUGUACUUUCGGCUCCAUUUUGCUGUGAACUUAAAACCACUCUAAAAAAAUAACAUUUACUAAUUAAAUGAACACGCACACAAAGAAGGUGUAGGUACGGUGGGCAUGGUGGGGAACAAAGAGAGCUAAGUGCCCAAGGCACUGGAGUGACCCAGAGUCCAAAACGUGAGUGAACUGAAAUUGUGCAUCAUGUGUGCACGAUGGGGAAGUGAGCGUAAGCCAGAGAGAUGGAGCAGUUAAGAGAAGGUCUAGGGAUUAUUCCCAGGUUACUCACUUUUUAUGCGAGUGAUCAGGGGAAGGGUUACUGUGCAGGGCUCCAAAGUGAGAUCUAUGGCAGGAGUUUUCAGCUAUCUGUGCAAGGGAACUGCUUCCCCCUGGGCAGCACAAAGCAACCCAGCAUUCUCGGAAGAUGCAUGUGGAGCGUGCCAGAUGACUGAAUGCACAGGGUAGCUUCAAGAGGACCUCCUUGCUCUGGCGAGAGCACAGAUAGCCUCCAGGAGCAGGAAACGGGCUGCAGGUGAACCAUCCCCGUGUUAACUCACCAUGGAACCAAAGCUGGGAAAAUCACUUCAUUCCUUUUAGCCACUAUUUCCUAGCCCGUAAAACAGCUGCUGAUGUCAUCACAAUAACAAUUUACUACUUCACAAGAUCUUUAGUGGAUCAGGUGGGGCAGGAAUGAUGAAAAGGGGUAUGUUAUGGCAGCAAUGCACACUCAGUGCUUUCACACUUGCUCAUUUACUCUCUUCACAACACAGUGAUGUGCAUCUUGCUAUAUCCGUUUCAUGAAAAAUGAGAUGUAGUGACCUAGCCCACGUCACAUAGCUAGAAAUGCCAAGAAUGGACCCCACGCCUCCCCUAGGGUACACUUUCUGGAUGAAAAGACAAGAGUGAUGGUCAUUAUCUCCCUCUUUGGGGAGCAGGAUGUGACCCUCUGGACCUGGACACAUAGGCUUGAACUGGAUGGCUGUUGAGGCUCUGAUCAGGUACCCAAGGUCCCCUGCCGCUCACUCUACAGAGACCCACUUCUGAGACUGGGUCCUGGGACCAGCAGUGUUUGGAUACACUAGCUGGGGGAUCCACCAGCUAGCCUGGGGAUCCCAAUGUGUGGGAAGAAAUCCCUUUGCUGGCUCUGGGGCAGAGCAGGUGGCAGAGGCUGAAGGGGUGGAGGACGCCAAGGAAGAGGAGGGUCGCAGGGGAGCAUCUUGCCCAUUUUCGGCUGAUGUUGCUCCAACUCUGCACAUGGCUCACAGCAAACGUCAUAACUGUUGAUAUAUUUCAAUCUGACCAGUGCUGCCACUUGUACAUUUAAAUCCAUUCUGUACAUUGCUUUCAAGAACAAAAGGAUGCAGAAGGCAAACGGAACUAAUCACUGUUGCUGAGACUGAGAAUAACACAAAGUAGUUGCUAGUGUCAUCUGGCUGCUUGAAAUACAUCAGCUGACUACAGGUCAGAACAGGGCCCCAGUGUGGCUGGUAUUGUUUCCAGGUUCCCCAGAUAAGUAAACUGAGGUUGUAAGAGGUCAAGUCCUUACCUGGGUCACACAGAUGGGAAGUCAGUAACUCAGCUCCAAAGGCCAAGUUUCCCCAGGUUGCCCCUGAGAAGUCUCUGUUUAGUGACAGUGUGUGAUCUAUUUUAGAACAAUUUCUGUGAAAUCUGACGUCUUUUUCUAAUGGUACUUCUAAAAAGGAAGAAAAGGGAUUCUGUGACUUGUUGUAACUCCCCUAUUCGCAUGGGGAUUUUUCCUAAAAGCCCCUCGUGGUUUGGUGGAAUGUCGAAUAUCCAAAUUUGGAAUCAAUCUGGGUAGAGUUCCAGGCUCAGCCUCACAAAGGACUAACCUUCAGACUUUGGGCCAGGUAUUAAGCUUUUCUGCACCGCACUCUACCCAAGUUCAAGUAAUGGGAAAAACAAUACUUUAAGUACUGAGAAAUACUGAAGUAAUAUAUAGAAGUACUUAGCCUAUAGGCCUCAGUACCUGACAAGUAUGAUAACAACGAUGCUUAUUAUUAUUCUUCACAUAAAAACAAGCAUGAUUUACUUUAUAGCAGUGUAACUGUAAGGUCCUGGCCAGUAGGUGUCAGAGAGUUAACAGAUCAGGAAAGGGGGUGUUGGAUGAUUCUGAAUAACUACCCAAAUUGUCAGUAGCUAGUAUAAUCUGCAGACUAUUAAUAAGUCAGAGCUGCAACAUACAUGGGGCAAAAGGAUGCUAUGUUUCAGAGAGAAGAGCAAGAGGAACUUGGAAUCUGGCCAUCUCUAGCAUCUGCUUGGGGAGGUAAAGCUAUGACACUCUUUGUCUCUCAGCCAGGCCAAUGUGGUUUGUGAUCUGCGCCUAUUAUUACAUGUGGGCUCAGCAGGCAGGAGCCUCUCUGCAGGGAAAACACACAGCGUUGCCAUGACAGGAACCCACUGUACUAUCUGGCGACAACAUAACUUCACAUGAUGGCAGAAAUGGAACUGAUGGGGAAAAAGUGGUUUUAACUUUUGUCUUAUAUAGAUAUAGAUAGAUACAGAUAUAGUCUAGAGAUAAUAAACACUACUAAAGGUAAAGCAUUACACUUAAUAUUUUAAUAUAUUUAUAUUUAAUUAUAUUAUAAAUACCCAUAUUUUGACUUAGCAAAAACAGCAAGAAAAAAUGCCUUCAGGUUCUUGUAUCACAAUCAUACCUACAUAUUUUUAACCCAUUAGCUUAGAACCUUCAGCAGUUGUGUGAAAGUUGACUACAGAUUAGCCCUCAGUAUGGAUGAUAUAUGUCAAAUCAUAUAUACUAUCAUUUACCAGCGGUCACUUAUAGACAGAAGAGCUCAGCUGAAAUCUACCAGUAAUUAAAGUUAAUACUGGCUGUGUUAACAGGACCCAAGUUAAUGGACGUGCUAAUUAUUCUUCUCUGUGACAGACCCUGGCACCUGUUUGGUUUCCAGUUGGGACAAAGAUAGACCAGAUCCUGUUAGAAUAAGGAGGUCAUCCCAUCCAGCCCCUCGUGACACACAGGCAGAGGUUCAGACUCUAAGACACAUGAAAACUGUGGAACUGUGGGAAAACUAUUCAUGAGAAGUACUAAGAAUGGAAUAAAAAACUACUACGGUGUGAAUGUUUUAAAUCUGACCAUAGAAUAAAGAGUAGUUAACAGGGAGACACAAAGAGUAAGAAAAAAAUAACUAGCCUUAAGAUUGAAGUGAUUAAUAGGGAAGCUCCUUUAGGAUCAAUCAAUACUAGGACCACUAUUCUUCAGUAUAUUUAUUAACAACCGAGAAGAUAGAUGAGGUGAAAAGUCAUUGAAUUUGUCGAUGGCAAAAUUGAAAGAUUAAGGAAGAUAGUGAGCAAUG
This 6885-nucleotide long non-coding RNA is filed under the name Sus scrofa (pig). Its description in RNAcentral is "lncRNA (ENSSSCG00000060327.1)". Lineage: Eukaryota; Metazoa; Chordata; Mammalia; Artiodactyla; Suidae. The record is from RNAcentral.